Long non-coding RNA from Labeo rohita (rohu), 280 nucleotides. RefSeq lists it as uncharacterized. The transcript has 3 exons. The record is from RefSeq and is a predicted model, not a curated record. Lineage: Eukaryota; Metazoa; Chordata; Actinopteri; Cypriniformes; Cyprinidae.
CUGACGUACUGUCAGGUUGGAACUUUCCCUGCUACCCAAGUUUAUAAAGAAUAGCUGAACAAGUUGACCACAACAGCAAAGACUAAUGAUAUGGAAACCAGCAUCAGAGGUGGGAUAUUUGAGUGUCUGUGGAGGUCCCUGAGAAGAGUCUGGAGACUCCUGUGCUGCCGUGGACCUGAUGAGUCGGAAAUAAAACUUUCAGUGGAAGAAACAUCACCAUUAUUUAAUGGCCAUAGCUCUGUCCAUCCAUGGUAAAGACCAAGUUGUUUUCAUCACUGAG